RNAcentral lists this ribosomal RNA (253 nucleotides) under uncultured bacterium. Its description in RNAcentral is "partial 16S ribosomal RNA". It matches the Rfam family "Bacterial small subunit ribosomal RNA", at positions 524 to 776 of the family's 1533-position model. The record is from RNAcentral.
UACGAAGGUGGCAAGCGUUGUUCGGAUUUACUGGGCGUAAAGGGAGCGUAGGCGGUCCGGUAAGUCCGCUCUGAAAGCCCGGGGCUCAACCCCGGGAGGCGGGCGGAUACUGUCGGGCUAGAGUCCGGAAGAGGCGAGUGGAAUUCCUGGUGUAGCGGUGAAAUGCGCAGAUAUCAGGAGGAACACCGAUGGCGAAGGCAGCUCGCUGGGACGGUACUGACGCUGAGGCGCGAAAGCGUGGGGAGCAAACAGG